UCGAACGAUGAAGCCCAGCUUGCUGGGUGGAUUAGUGGCGAACGGGUGAGUAACACGUGAGCAACCUGCCCCUGACUCUGGGAUAAGCGCUGGAAACGGCGUCUAAUACUGGAUAUGUCCCGUCACCGCAUGGUGUGCGGGUGGAAAGAUUUUUCGGUUGGGGAUGGGCUCGCGGCCUAUCAGCUUGUUGGUGAGGUAAUGGCUCACCAAGGCGUCGACGGGUAGCCGGCCUGAGAGGGUGACCGGCCACACUGGGACUGAGACACGGCCCAGACUCCUACGGGAGGCAGCAGUGGGGAAUAUUGCACAAUGGGCGGAAGCCUGAUGCAGCAACGCCGCGUGAGGGAUGACGGCCUUCGGGUUGUAAACCUCUUUUAGCAGGGAAGAAGCGAGAGUGACGGUACCUGCAGAAAAAGCACCGGCUAACUACGUGCCAGCAGCCGCGGUAAUACGUAGGGUGCAAGCGUUAUCCGGAAUUAUUGGGCGUAAAGAGCUCGUAGGCGGUCUGUCGCGUCUGCUGUGAAAUCCCGAGGCUCAACCUCGGGCUUGCAGUGGGUACGGGCAGACUAGAGUGCGGUAGGGGAGAUUGGAAUUCCUGGUGUAGCGGUGGAAUGCGCAGAUAUCAGGAGGAACACCGAUGGCGAAGGCAGAUCUCUGGGCCGUAACUGACGCUGAGGAGCGAAAGGGUGGGGAGCAAACAGGCUUAGAUACCCUGGUAGUCCACCCCGUAAACGUUGGGAACUAGUUGUGGGGUCCUUUCCACGGAUUCCGUGACGCAGCUACGCAUUAAGUUCCCCGCCUGGGG
This 805-nucleotide ribosomal RNA is filed under the name Microbacterium sp. MCCC 1A10535. RNAcentral's name for it is "bacterial SSU rRNA". It matches the Rfam family "Bacterial small subunit ribosomal RNA", at positions 62 to 878 of the family's 1533-position model. Lineage: Bacteria; Bacillati; Actinomycetota; Actinomycetes; Micrococcales; Microbacteriaceae. The record is from RNAcentral.